This 473-nucleotide ribosomal RNA is filed under the name uncultured bacterium. Its description in RNAcentral is "bacterial SSU rRNA". It matches the Rfam family "Bacterial small subunit ribosomal RNA", at positions 355 to 825 of the family's 1533-position model. The record is from RNAcentral.
UGGGGAAUAUUGCGCAAUGGGCGAAAGCCUGACGCAGCGACGCCGCGUGUGGGAGGAAGCUCUUCGGGGUGUAAACCACUGUCAGGAGGGAAGAACGGCGCCGGUUCGAACAGUUCCGGCGAUUGACGGUACCUCCAAAGGAAGCGCCGGCUAACUCCGUGCCAGCAGCCGCGGUAAGACGGAGGGCGCAAGCGUUGUUCGGAAUUACUGGGCGUAAAGGGUUCGUAGGUGGCUUGCUAAGUCAGACGUGAAAUCCCUCGGCUCAACCGGGGAAUUGCGUCUGAGACUGGCGAGCUUGAGUGCAGGAGAGGAACGCGGAAUUCCAGGUGUAGCGGUGAAAUGCGUAGAUAUCUGGAGGAACACCGGUGGCGAAGGCGGCGUUCUGGACUGCAACUGACACUGAAGAACGAAAGCCAGGGUAGCAAACGGGAUUAGAUACCCGAGUAGUCCCUGAGCGGGCUGGCAAGGCGCAU